This 329-nucleotide ribosomal RNA is filed under the name uncultured eukaryote. Its description in RNAcentral is "partial 18S ribosomal RNA". It matches the Rfam family "Eukaryotic small subunit ribosomal RNA", at positions 1470 to 1796 of the family's 1831-position model. The record is from RNAcentral.
CCCUUAGAUGUCCGGGGCCGCACGCGCGCUACGCUGAAGGAAUCAGCGUGGCUUUCUCCCUGACCCGAAAGGGUUGGGAAACCCGUUGAAUCUCCUUCGUGAUAGGGAUUGGGGCUUGAAAUUGUUCCCCAUGAAUGAGGAAUUCCCAGUAAGCGCGAGUCAUAAGCUCGCGUUGAUUACGUCCCUGCCCUUUGUACACACCGCCCGUCGCACCUACCGAUUGGAUGGUCCGGUGAAGCCUCGGGAUUGUGGUUCUUGCCGCUUUAUUGUGGCGUGACCGCGAGAACUUGUCUAAACCUUAUCAUCUAGAGGAAGGUGAAGUCGUAACA